GGGUUGUGAGGUUAAGCGACUAAGCGUACACGGUGGAUGCCCUGGCAGUCAGAGGCGAUGAAGGACGUGCUAAUCUGCGAAAAGCGUCGGUAAGGUGAUAUGAACCGUUAUAGCCGGCGAUGUCCGAAUGGGGAAACCCAGUGCAAUUCGUUGCACUAUCGUUUGAUGAAUACAUAGUCAAACGAGGCGAACCGGGGGAACUGAAACAUCUAAGUACCCCGAGGAAAAGAAAUCAACCGAGAUUCCCCCAGUAGCGGCGAGCGAACGGGGAGCAGCCCGGAGUCUGAAUCAGCUUGUGUGUUAGUGGAAGCGUCUGGAAAGUCGCAGGGUACAGGGUGAUACUCCCGUACACUAAAACACACAGGCUGUGAACUCGAAGAGUAGGGCGGGACACGUGGUAUCCUGUCUGAAUAUGGGGGGACCAUCCUCCAAGGCUAAAUACUCCUGACUGACCGAUAGUGAACCAGUACCGUGAGGGAAAGGCGAAAAGAAC
RNAcentral lists this ribosomal RNA (493 nucleotides) under Klebsiella grimontii. RNAcentral describes it as "partial 23S ribosomal RNA". It matches the Rfam family "Bacterial large subunit ribosomal RNA", at positions 1 to 524 of the family's 2925-position model. Lineage: Bacteria; Pseudomonadati; Pseudomonadota; Gammaproteobacteria; Enterobacterales; Enterobacteriaceae. The record is from RNAcentral.